Molecule: long non-coding RNA, 19511 nt
Filed under: Malus domestica (apple)
Lineage: Eukaryota; Viridiplantae; Streptophyta; Magnoliopsida; Rosales; Rosaceae
Description: long non-coding RNA (MDOM_LNC006367)
Source: RNAcentral
UUAAUUCUUCUUGCAAGAGAAAUGGAAUGAAGCACUUACAUAGACUAGAAUUUAUUUAGUUUCAUAGUGAACAUGGCGGUUGACCAUCAAACUCGGCAAACUUUUUAUUGGUUACUGAAGAUAUAAAAAAGAAAUAUGCCACCGAGUAUCAUCUGUAGCUUGUGAGUACUGCAUUCCUUGCCUCCUGAACGAGAAGGGGGUGGAGGAGAAGGGGGUGGAGGAGAAGGGGGUGUUUGUCGCGCGGCUCUCACGGCUGGACAGGACGUUGCUCGGCAAGGCAUUCCAUCGAGACAAUUCUCUCUCACGCUGACGAAACAGUUUGAAAGAAAAACAUAUAGCCUUUUAGGAAACGUUACGUUAAAGAUAAUGGAACCAACAGAUUUCUAGCAACAUCAGAUCAAAUAAAGAACUGAAACAUAUGAAGUGGGUCGAGAAACGUUUCGCUUACUCCAAAGUAAGGUUUUUGUUGUUUAAAAGAGAGGUAGGUAUGGAUCCAGUGAGUCUGUUCCUUGACAAAUUCCUGAGAAGAAAUUGAAAAACAAAAGACAGGUGUUAUCAAAUUCCUGAGAAGAAAUUGCUAGCUACUACGGUUGUUUAAAUCAUUAAAUCAUGAAACUCACAGUAGUUUUAGAUUAGGCAAGGAGCCAAGGAAAUCCGGAAUAGUUCCAUACAUGCAGUUGUUGUGAAAAUCACUACAAAUCGAAAGAGAGAAAUUCAUUAGAAUCUUGAAAAUUAAUUAUUAGAUCAAUGCAACUGUUUACGGAACAUUUGAAUAUAUAAUUACAUACAACUCACAUUUUCUGCAGCUCAUCCAUGGACCUAAUGGCGCCCGGAAAUUGGCCAGUCAAGCGUCGGCUGCUGAGAUUCCUGUUUGUUUUUUUCAUUUUCGACAUGAUCAGAAGUUCAAUUAUAUGUAUACAAGUAACUGCAUAUGUAUUGAUCAAAACUGUUUCAUUUCGACAUGUUAAAACUUGGAUCUUACCUGAUAAACUAUACAUUUCGAAAAAUUGAGUAGUAAUGAAACAAAGAGAGAUGGAGAAAAGUUUAUAUACACACUACUUACAAUGAUGUUACAAGACGACCGGUAGGAAGAUUACUACAGUUAUACCAGUCCCCGUUACGUUUACACCAGUUACCGUCAGAAGGAUCACCUUUCAAGCGUUUUAGUCCUUCUUGCACUAGUUCUUUUAGCAGUUCAGCUAGCUUUUUCGCUGAAUCAAUUAUGACGCACAAAAGUAUUAUAUACCAGAUGAAAUAAUGAAUGUCGAAGAUACAAAUACACGUGUUAAUUGAUUAAAUGAAAUGGGAUUAAGGAGUAGAAAAAUAAUUAACCAUAUUCAAGGUUUGGGAGUAGACGCCGAGUGGUAGUAUAUAAUUCAUAGGCAUCGACGAGAGGAGGCAAGGAUGAGGACUGAGCAUACUUAUCCAUCCUCUUAUCGAAAGGAGUGGUUGUUUCCUUCCACUCCACAGUAUACAUGAAUUCAACAUCAACUUCUUUAUCCUCUGAAAGGUCAGCCAGUGCAUUUGGAUCUGUUCGAACAUUGACUUCAAUCACGCGGUCCUUGUUAUAAUAGAGAUCAAAAUGAAUGUGCUUAUAAAGGUAGGUCUUGUACUCGCUCGGGGGGUCUUUGCCUUCCUUGUCAACCUUCCCUAUGAAACCCCAAAUGGGCAAGUCAUCAUAAUACAUCUGGAAGUAAUAGUCCUUGUUGACAGCAGAUCUGAACCGGCCUACUUCUUCCUUUGUGAGUGUUUUCUUGCAAGCUACUUCGGGAUCUUUAUGCCUUAGGAACUCAAGUUUGUAAGGAGCACUGACUAAACGAUCCCCAUUCAAUACUUCACCAAGAGCUUCCCCCUUCUCUGUCACCGCAUCUGCAAUUAGGAUCCAAAUAAUUAGGUAAAUUCAAUUCGUCGGAGAACAUGAACACGUAUUGUGAAGGAAGUAAAUAUGAAAGAAACGAAUCGAUUUGUUGAUACAAACCUGGUGAGCAGAAUGGGAGAUCAAAGUAUCCGUACGCUUCACUGGAAGCACCCCAAAAAAACAAAAAACAAAAAGAACAAAAAUUUAGACAAUCAGGAACACCAAAUUUCCACCACAAUCAAACUAACAUACAAUUUAUUAUCUGGGGUGGAGUGCUGGGGUUUUACCUGGGGUUGUGAAACGGGCCAACCUUGUUGGCAUACAGAGGGACAAAAUCUCCUUCCUUGUACCGAUGAUCCGACCCGUCGGACCUGACUAGAUCCGCACCGGACAGAAUUAGCAAGGCGAUGAUGCAAUGUACUCCCACCGCCAUGGUCUUCCCCAUUCUCUCUCUCUCUAAUCUCUGGAGAGACAAGACAACCACGUUCAGUAUAUCUUAUCUAUCUACAUACCUAUCUUAUAUAUAUAUAAAGCCAAUGGAAAAGUGCACAGUGCAAAACAGUCCACAUAUUUCUGGAGAGACAAGACAACCACGUUCAGUAUAUUUUAUAUAUAUAAAACCCAGUGGAAUGGCACUGUUCAUCAUGUGAGAGAGCACACCGUUUACCAACAGUGAAAGGACGGAACCGCCUUUGGUUUCUGCUUGGGUCCCGUACCGUUCACACUUUGCUACAAUCAAAAAUCCGUUUUGUCCUCUGUCUCUCGUCAGAAUGUACUGCCCUCUGUGCUACAUUCGAAGCCUAUGAAAAAACAACCAAAAGAAAAAAUGCGAAGACCCAUUCCUCGAACAGAGAUAAUAAAUGCGAAGAUCCAUUCCUCAAAAAGAUAGAGGACAAGAGGGAUGCCACAGUUGCGUGAUGGAAGCAACGAAGGGCCAUUCGAAAAAGAGAUAAUAAAUGUGAUGUUGGGGGGGGGUGGGGAAGCAAUGUUCAUCUUGUGUUCUUGGUUUUUUAAACUCACAUGCAGCAUUUGUGGGGCAGAAAAGAUGAAACAAUAAUUGAAAAACUGACGGGAUGGACAAAAAAAAUAUUUAAAAAAUAAGAGUUAAACCAGGCCACAUGUUUGUGGCACAGCAAACAAUAAAAAAUUAUAAAAAAAUUGAAUACAUGCAAAAACAAUUAUUAACAAUUGUGAGAAGCCGUGAUUUUUUUUUAAAAAAAUUUUAACGAAAAAUUUGCGAUACUGUUCAUUUUAACGAAAAACCACAUUUUUACACUAAAAGUCAAUCAUGAUACUAUUCACUUUAUCUUUUAUUUUAUCUUUAUUAUUAAAACUCAAAGUUUCCAAACUUUUUUCAUUAGUUUUUUUUUUUUUUACUGUUAUUCUAACUCAAACUCUAGGUUGGCCUGCUGUCUCUCAUUACUUUGCCUCUGGUUAUUUUAUUUUAUUGGUUUUGCUCUGUUUUUCAAAUUUGCAGUAUUAUUUUGAGGACGGAUAUAAUUUGGUCAAAUUCAUCAUGCUGGUGUAACAAGCAGGCCUAUUUGUUAAUCUCCAGAUUGGCCCUUAUGUUUGCGCUAAAUGGAACCUCAGGUAAUUAUUUUUGUUAAGAAUAUUUUUUUGUGUUUUUCUGUUUCUGAAACAAAGGAUUCCAGUUUGGCCGAAAUAUGUCUCCGGAAUCGCUUUUUAAAGGACAAUGAGCCUUUCAAGUUAGGAUAUUAUAAAUCUUCCGUUACUCCAAUGCAAUUUAAUUUUUUUAAUAAAUAAUUUUAAAGCUAACUUUAACUGGUCGGGUUUUCUUAGUAAUUUAUGUGAAACAAUGUUAGAAUUGCUUUUAGGUGAUGGAAAAAACUUUUUAGUCAUUUUAUAAGCAAAUCUCAAACAUGACGCCAAUCUUUUAACUUAAUAAUCUAUUUGUUACUAACUUUUUCCUUCUUCAUUCAAUCAUGUAGAAAGAAAGAUGCGAUCCAAGCUACCGUCCAAGAAAUAGAUUAUAAUUUAUUGACGAUAUGUGCUUAUCAACAGUUUUUAAACAUUUUAAAGAAAUCUUACAAAGCUAAUUGGCAAAUUGCAAGAUAUUUUGAAAUACAAUACUGUAGUACAACCUUUGAAAAAAAAAAGGUUGCCAAUGAAAGAUUUGAGACCAAUAGUUAAAUUUGUAUUGAAAAUAUGAGGUACAAAGUAUAAUAAAGCAUUUAUAAAAGGACGAUUACCCUUUUUUUUAAUACAUUUUUAAAGAUCUUAUAAAUCUUUUCCUACAUCCAUGCAUUUGUUUCUCAGUUCACAAUUCAGCAGAAUGAGAGUAUAUUUAUGUUUGCAAUAAGACGUGAAUUCUAACCUUUAUUCAUAUUUGCAGGCUAAGAGUUGUGGUAGAAGAGUUUAUUGUGGUUAGCUUAGAGUAAUAUGUGAGAUUAGCAAUUUGAAGAGUACUUUCUCCUCGUAUGUUUGCUUUGACAUUUGUAAAUCGUAAUUUUUAUUUAUCUCUUCAUGGCGUACUUAAAUUUUUAGAUCAGUAUAUGUAUUUGUUUUUGACAUUUCUUAUUAUAUGUAUUAGAAAACUGACCGAAGAAAGUUUCCAAUUUUAUUAUCUAGUCUAGCAAAAACAGAGUUAAGCUUCGAAGAACAAUACACAUGCAAUUUCAACGAAAACAAAACACAGGUUGACUAAAGAACUUGAUGGCAAAUGACUAAGAACCCAAAUCAAAUCUUUCAAAAACAGAUCAAGCUCUGAUAUUUACGCAUAGCCAAUGAAAAUUCAAUUUCCAAAUCACAAUGUCUAGCUUAUACGAGUUGAACCAGAACUUGUAAAGCAUGCAAAUUUUCUCAGUAACCAAACAAAUGGGUGGGAAUAAACUCAGAUACAUAACGAUUAACAGUGAAAUGAACAAACCCAGAAGCUGAACUGAGCUAAGAAAGCAUGGAACUUUGAGAUCGAGCAGGGUGGAGUGCUGGGGUUUUACCUGGGGUUGUGAAACGGGCCGACCUUGUUGGCAUACAGAGGGACAAAAUCUCCUUCCUUGUACCGAUGAUCCGACCCGUCGGACCUGACUAGAUCCGCACCGGACAGAAUUUGCAAGGCGAUGAUGCAAUGUACUCCCACCGCCAUGGUCUUCCCCAUUCUCUCUCUUUCUCUCCCUAAUCUCUGGAGAGACAAGACAACCACGUUCAGUAUAUCUUAUCUAUCUAUAUAUAUAUAUAUAUAUACACACACAUGUAUAUGUAUAUGUAUCUUCUAUAUCUUAUAUUAAAAAAUUUACAAUGAUUUUUAACUGCACAAUAUACGAUAAACGGAUCUAAUUGAAGGAUUUCCAAAAUUCUCAUAAGAUCCAGAGAGGUAGGAUCCGGAGAGGAUCCUCGUUCAUAGGAGUCAAUCCCAGACCCCAACGCUUUAAUGUAAAAUAUGGUGAUAUAUGAUAAAAAAAAUAAAAUAAACAGAAGAGUGUUGCAAAGUUGAAUUAGUCUACCAAAUCACAAUAUCCCGGCAUGGCGAUGGCACCAUACCGCUUUAAUUCUUCUUGCAAGAGAAAUGGAAUGAAGCACCUAUACAAACUACAAUUUAUUUAGUUUCAUAGUGAGCAUGGCGGUUGACUAUCAAACUAGGCAAACUUUUUAAUAGGUACCGAACAUAUAAAAAAGAAUUAUGCCACCGAGUAUCAUCUGUAGCUUGUCAGUACCGCAUUCCUUGCCUCCUGAAGGAGAAGGGGGUAGUAGCCCUGCAUUCUCGGUCACGCUGACGAAACAGUUUGAAAAAAAAACGCCUCGUUUGGCACACCGUAUAGAGCACCGGUUGUUUGGUGCCCUCCUGUAUUAAAUAGUCACCGGAUUAAUUUAGUCAGUCUGCCUAUUUAGUAGGGUAUACACCUGCAUAAUAAACCCUUCCAAAAGGAGUGGAUUAUUAGUCUGGUUCCCUUCCCUCUCUUUCGCACUUCGUUCUCCAAGACACCUCCUCUCACCGACGUUGUUCUCCCCGUCUUCGUUCUUGUCGGCACCGCAAACACCUAUGACCGCCACGUCCUCCUCUGCUACAAGAGCCCCGAGGCCUAGCCGUAGCGCGUCGAAGGCUCUGAGUCCUAGCCAUCACACAUCUUCCUUUGGGCUUCUUCUACAACUGGGGAGAGAUUCUUGACUGAAAUUGUAAGGGAAGAAGAAGAAGGAAGAGGGCGGGACGGAUUUUGGGGUUGCGGCGGAGAGAUCUGGGGAACAAAAGAGAUGAUUUCAUUUCUUCUGCAAUUGGGUCUUGCAAAGAAACAUGGAGUAUUUGCAGAGGUUCUUGACUGAAAUUGCAGGGGAAGAAGAAGAAGAAGGGAGAGAGGGAGGGAGUUUGGGGGGUGCGGCGGAGAGAUGGGGAACAAAAAUGAUGAUUUUUUUUUUUAAAUUUUAAUUUUAUUUUAUUUUAUUUAAAUAAAGGAAUAUUUUGUUUGAAUUCCUCAUAUCCGGUAUAAUACCAAACACACUAUAAAUAAUACGGUUAUUAAUCCGAUACUGCACCAAACGCCCGACUAAUUUAGUUAGUACUAUCUGGUGGCUAUUUAUCCUAUCUGAUAGAAAUAAACAGUACAGUUCGAGCUGCCAAACAAGGCCAUAGCCUUUUAGGAAACGUUACGUUAAAGAUAAUGGAACUAACAGAUUUCUAGAAACAUCAAAUCAAAUAAAGAACUGAAACAUAUGAAGUAGGUCGAGAAACGUUUCACUUACUCUAACGUAAGGUUUUCGUUAUUUGAAAGAGAGGUAGGUGUGGAUCCAGUGAGUCUGUUCCCUGACAAAUCCCUGAGAAGAAUUUGAAAAACAAAAGACAGGUGUUAUCGAAUCCGGCCCUAUAGUGCUAGCUACUACGGUUGUUUAAAUCAUUUAAAUCAUGAAACUCACAGUAGUUCUAGAUUAGGUAAGGAGCCAAGGAAAUCCGGAAUAGGUCCAUUCAAGCUGUUGUUGUGAAAAUCACUAUAAAUCGAAAGAGAGAAAUUCAUUAGAAUCUUAAAAAUUAAUUAUUAGAUCAAUGCAAUUGUUUACGGAACAUUUGAAUAUAUAAUUACAUACAACUCACAUUUCCAGCAGCGCAUCCAUGGAUCCAAAGUCUGGAAUUGGGCCAGACAAGCGUUGGCUGCUGAGAUUCCUGUAUGUUUUUUCAUUUUCGACAUGAUCAGAAGUUCAAUUAUAUGUAUAUAAGUAACUGCAUAUGUAUUGAUCAAAACUGUUUCAUUUCGACAUGAUAAAACUUGGAUUUUACCUGAUAAACUAUACAUUUAGAAAAAUUGGGUAGUAAACAAAGAAAGAUGGAGAAAAGUUUAUAUAUACACUACUUACGAUGAUGUUACACGACGACCGGUAGUAAAAUUAGUACAUUCAUACCAGUUCACUACUAACGAGGCUGAAAGACCAAGGAUCACCAUUAAGUUUAUCUUGCGUAUCAUAUCCUCUUUCCAGUCCUUCAAAUACACUUCCCAGUUUUUCUAGCCCUUCCACUGAAUCAAUUAUGAGGCACAAAAAUAUUAUAUAUCAGAUGAAAUAAUGAAUGUCGAAGAUACAAAUACACAUGUUAAUUGAUUAAAUGAAAUGGGAUUAAGGAGUAGAAAAAUAAUUAACCAUCUUUAGGGUUGGUGAUUAGAGGUCUAGUGAUAGUAUAUAAUUCAUAGGCAUUGACGAGAGGAGGCAAGGAUGAGGACUGAGAAUACUUAUCCAUCCUCUUAUCGAAAGGAGUGGUUGUUUCCUUCCACUCCACAGUAUACAUGAAUUCAACAUCAACUUCUUUAUCCUCAGUAAGGUCAACCAGUGCAUUUGGAUCUGUUCGAAUAUUGACUUCAAUCACGCGUUCUUUGUUAUAAUAGAGAUCAAAAUGAAUGUGCUCAUAAAGGUAGGUCUUGUACUCGCUCGGGUCUUUGCCUUCCUUGUCAACCUUCCCUAUGAAACCCCAAGUGGGCAAGUCAUCAUAAUACAUCUGGAAGUAAUAGUCCUUGUUGACAGCAGAUCUGAACCGGGCUACUUCUUCCUUUGUGAGUGUUUUCUUGCAAGCUACUUCGGUAUCUUUAUGCCUUAGGAACUCAAGUUUGUAAGGGGCACUGACUAAACGAUCCCCAUUCAAUGCUUCACCAAGAGCUUCCCUUUUCUCUUUCACCGCAUCUGCAAUUAGGAUCCAAAUAAUUAGGUAAAUUCAAUUCGUCGGAGAACAUGAACACGUAUUGUGAAGGAAGUAAAUAUGAAAGAAACGAAUCGAUUUGAUACAAACCUGGUGAGCAGAAUGGGAGAUCAAAGUAUCGGUACGUUUCACUGGAAGCACCCAAAAAAUACAAAAAGAACAAAAAUUUAGACCAACAGGAACACCAAAUUUCCACCAGAAUCAAACUAACGUACAAUUUAUUAUCUAGUUUAGCAAAAACAGAGUUAAGCUUCGAAGAACAAUACACAUGCUAUUUCGACGAAAAGAACUUGAUGGCAAAUGACUUAAGAACCCAAAUCAAAUCUUUUAAAAAACAGAUCAAGCUCUGAUAUUUACACAUAGCCAAUGAAAAUUCAAUUUCCAAAUCACAGUGUCUAGCUUAUACCAGUUGAACCAGAACUUGUAAAUCAUGCAAAUUUUCUCAGUAACCAAACAAAUGGGUGGGAAUAAACUCAGAUCCAUAACAAUUAACAGUGAAAUGAACAACAAACCCAGAAGCUGAAUUGAGCUAAGAAAGCAUGGACCUUUGAGAUCGAGCAGGGUGGAGUGUUGGGGUUUUACCUGGGGUUGUGAAACGGGCCGACCUUGUUGGCAUACAGAGGGACAAAAUCUCCUUCCUUGUACCGAUGAUCGGACCCGUCGGACCUGACUAGAUCCGCACCGGACAGAAUUAGCAAGGCGAUGAUGCAGUGUACUCCCACCGCCAUGGUCUUCCCCAUUCUCUCUCUCUCUAAUCUCUGGAAAGACAAGACAACCUUGUUCAGUAUAUAUAUUUGAUUUGAUUUCCUGGGUCUGGUUUGGGUCUUUGGCUUAUGUAUUUAUUUUUGGUUUAAUGAAAUAUUAAUGUUGUCAUUUAAUCAACGGAACUUUAACGAAAAGCACCCGUACUGUUCAUUUUAACGAAAAAUCACAUUUUUACACUAAAAAAUCAAUCUUGUUACUAUUCACUUUACCUUUUAUUUUGUCCUUAUCAUUAAAACUCAAAGUUUUCAAGCCAUUUUCAUUAGUUUUCCUUUUAAUUAAUCAAAUGUGUUAAGAUUUAUAGACUUGGAAUUUUUUUUCUAUAUUGUAUGCUUAUUUACUAACAAAAUUAGAAGGCAGAGAAUUAAUAAUCACAUAUUAUUUUGUACACUUAAUCUGUGUACAAUAUUUGUUCUAUUUAUUCAACUUGACAAUCAUAAAUAGAAAAGAACAUGCAAAAAGAAAAAGUUACCAAAAAAAACACGUUUUUAAUAUUAUAAUUUGUAACCAAAUGCUUGAAAAUUAUGAAACAUAUCAAUUGCAGGCUUGUGGUGACAAGGUUGUCUUUGACAUGAAAUUAAGAAAAUGUAACAUUUUCUUUUGUAUCUUCUCUGAUUUAUAACGUCUCUCAUUUAAAGCACGUAAUUGUAAUAAACAUGUUUGUUUUGAUUUUUUUUCUUGCACGCACAAAAUAAAGAAAAUUUUCACUUACACAAUGUAAUUAGUAAUUUAAUACUUAAAAAAUUAUGUAAUUAGUGGCGUGGCGGUCAGAACCUUCAACUUCAACUUAGUGUAUUAAUAUCGAUAGGAAAAAAUUAUAAACUGAAUUGAAUUGAAAUUAUUGAAUCACAAUACCGGUAAAUAAACAUUUCAUUAAUAUUCAAACAAAAUAAUUAUUAGUUAAUGUGGAAAUAAUUUGUUUUGUUUUAAUGUGAAACAAAAAAUAGGUGAACAAAGGUGACGGAGACGGGGGUGCCUCACCACGUCGUGAGAUGUUUGAUGCCUUAUCGACGCUUUGGUACCUACCUUAUGCCGUAGGGUGCGUCUCACGCUUCUCUUUUUCCAUUUCUUCUUUCUUUCUCUGUCUACGUGGUGGCACGUGAUUGGGGGGCUUUGUAGGAGUGAGGAAUCUGGUGGUUUGGUGGGCAACGCCUUGGGAUACACACACAUAUGUGAAAUGAACAGUGUUGAUACUCAUCGUUUUGUAAACCAAAAAGGACAUUAUUAUUUGGACAAGGAUGGUCUGCCCUUCUUGUUCCUGUAUCUUUCUGUAUCCUCCUGUUUUGUACGAUCACGGUUAAGCCAUGUCAACAUUUUAUAUUGUUUUUUUUAUAAAAAUAAUAAGGAAAAAAAAUAAAUAGUAAUAUAAAAUAUUAACGUGAUUUAACCGUGACCACACAAACAAAGGACAUGGAAAGACACGAGAACAGGGCAGACAAUCCUUGUACUUAUUAUUUUUCGAAUUCAUUGCUCUUCUUCCUCUUCCUCCAGAUCUGCGCUUUAAUUAAUGUCUUGUACUACAAGGCGAAGAAAUAGGAUUGUGUGGUGGUGCUGCUUCUGCUAUCUCAUCUGCGCUUUAAUGUCUUGUACAAAAAGGUGUACGUACGGUCUCCAUCUUAAAUGCGUUUCAGAAAUGAAACCUUACUCCUACUUUUUCUGUUUCCACAAAGUUUAUACUGUUCAUGAACAGCGAACCAAUGUCUGUAUUUUGCUUUUCUUUUAUUAAUUUAAUUUACUCACUUUUAUGAAGGUGCUGUAGGAGGCUUGAGAGUCUCGAGACAUGUCGAUGAGACCGACAGCGGAGAAGAAACAAAUAACAACAUCAUCAGCUUCAUCAAAUCCUCCUCCUCCUCCUUCAGUUAAGUCGUCGGCUCCUCCAAGUCCAAGAAGUAGUUCAAGCAGCAGCAACAAGUCCAUCAUGAAUCGGAAACCCCCAUGGCUCUUGCCCAUCCUUGACGGUAGGAACAUUUUCAUUUGAAUCAUUUUUCUUCUCCCUUCAACUUUUACUCAUAGACCUGGAGAACAACUUGCAUAAAAAGGGACCAUCAUUUGGCGUUUAGUUGAAUAAUACAAUGUUGCAUGAAAAUAAUUUACAAAUGAAAAUGUUGUAUUAUUGAAUUAAAAUGCAUACAAAUUCAUAUCAUUUAAGCCAUUCUCUAUAAUUCUCUUUUAGAGAAAACUAAUGAAAAUGACUUGAAAACUUUAUGUUUUAACGAAAAUUACAAAUAAAUGAUGAAAUGAAUAGUACCAGAAUUGACUUUUUAAUGUAAAAAAAUAAUUUUUUGUUGUCAAAAUAAACAGUAUCGUAAGUUUUUCAUUAAAAUUAUAUUCUUUUUAUCUUUGUUUUGGUGCACGCAUGAUUGAAUUGAACGACGUACUUGUGAUCUUGACCAAUCUACUUUAGUUUGAUUAUGGAUGAAAAGUUAAUGGAAAAGCUUAGGAGGGUUUUCGUGCAAGCACAUGUGAUGAUGGGAUGUGACAACUAACUAGGUAAACAUACGUAGCUUGGAGUUUACCAUCUUUGUCUGUUUGUCUGUCCAUCUUCCUUUGUGUUUGAAUUUCAAAACUCCAUCUGAUGAGUGGUGAGUAGUCUAGUCAGUAAGUAGUCUAGUCGGAAGAUAAAAAGGCCAUUGGCGUGUAAAAGUAUAUAAUUGAUUUUGUUUGAUAUUUAUUCGAGGCAGGAAGGAAGGCACCGACCUCUCUCUUUCAGAGUAACUCCAGCGUGGGCUGGUGCUCUAGGGAAAGGCGAUCAAAUAGGGCCAGAUUGCCCGAUUGAACUGCUCCACCGUGUGGCAGUCCGAGGGACAGGCUGGGUCGGAGCUGCGGGCCUAUGAGGAGUUGCCAGCCCGAAAGCAUGGGUGGAUAUGACGCAAGGGCUGAUGUCAUCCUAGUGUCAGCCUUAUUUUAUAUAUUUUUCUAUCAGGCGCAUGAGCCUCACCCGCACGUAGGGGCGCGUCAGCCGACAGAUUUUCAGAGGAUGGGCCCGCGUCACAGUCUGCCGAGGUUACCGUUGGGAAGCCAUGUGGCUUCCCACAGUCCGCUCGAUCUCAAUGGCUCUUUAAAUUGGACCGUCCGAUUUGCAAUGGUAAUAAAAAUAAAAAUAAAUCUUAUUUAAUAUCAACAGUUGGAUCUGAGAUCAACGGUUGAUAUUAUUCUGCUUUAUAAAUUUAAAAAUAAAAAAUAGAUUUAAAAUUAUGAAAAGUUACCAUUGUGCCACGUGGUACAAUCUGGAGUGUUGGAAUUCAAAUUUUUUAAAAUCCAACGGUAGAGAUUAAUUAGUUGAAUAAAAAUUUAAAAAAAAUUGUAAAAAAUCUGAAAAAUUUAAAAAAAAAAUUGUUUUUACUUUUCUAUAAAUACCUUCUCAUUAUCAUCUACCUUACACCACAAUUUCAUAUUUUAUCUACCCCAUUUGGCACAUUUGGGAGGGCUUCCACGAUGUAUUUUUCACUCUCUUCUUUCUUGGGAAUCAAAAACCUACGAGGAAAAAGGACGUUCGGAGGAAUAACAUUAGAAUGAAAUGAAAUUGGGACGUCUUUACUUGUGGUGGGUGGUUUAGAGGGCUUAAGGGGCUGCGACAAGGGUUGUUCUACCCUUUCCGUGUGUAUGUCUUCUUCCUCCUCCUCAAUCAGCAGCUCCUCAUCCACUUCUAGGCUAUGUUGGAUGUUUUUAGGUUAGCUCCAACCUCCAUAGCACUUCUCAAAGUGAUAGCAUCAUGGAUUUCAAAAUCUUCCUUCGAAUUUUCAAUAGUUAAGUUGGGGAGUUCACUUUGCUUUUGAAUUUGUGCCAUGAACUCCAUAAUCUGCCCAGUUUGCUUCUCUAAUUCACUCGUCUUCUUGGCUUGAUUUUGUAUCUUUUUGUUUUGAUUUUCUACUUUCUGAUUCAAAGAGGUGAGUAACUUAUUAAACAUAUCAUCAUCCAAAGACGUACCUGAAUUGAAUUGGGCAGAUUGUUGUGGUGACUGUGACGGUUCAUAUGGCCAGUGAUAGAACUUCUCUGAUGGCGGCAGAUAUUCUUCUUGUUGUGAGCCAUGCACCAAAGAGUUUAAUUCAUUAAGAAUUUGAUUGUAAUCUAUUGACGAGUCUGAGUUUGAUUGGGCAUAUUGUAUAUGAGGUUGUGGUGGCUGCGAUGGUUCAUAUGGCCAGUGAUAGAACUCCUUUUCUUGCUGCCAAUAUCCAUCUUGUUGGAAUUGUUGCGGUUCUCCACACAUGUAAUCUGAAUAAUCUCUCUAAUCCGAAUUGUAAGCGUUGGAAAAUAUGUUGUCCCCUGAUUAGCUAUAACCUCGGUAACCCCAAGCAUCUUCAUUCGUAGCGAAUUGAGAACAUUGAUGAGUUGGAUAUCCUUGCCCAUAGGACACACCAUAUGUAGGGACACUUUGCAUUGUGGUCCUUUCGGCAUAUUGUGACAAUUGAGAAGUAAGUUUCGCCAAUUGAGCUUGAAUAGUAGCAAAAUUCAUGUCUUACUUCUCUAGUACUUGAAAUCAAGGAAACAAAACUAAAUCAAAUAUCAUAAGUAAAAAUAAGAGACACAUAUAGAAACAAAGUCAGUAACUAAAACAAAAAAACAUGAAAAUAAACAAAAAGAAAUAACAAGGGGUUAGCAAAAUUGCUAAUCCCCGGCAACGGCGCCAAAAUUUGAUGCGAUGAAAGUUAAGCACUCAAAUUAAACCCUCUUUUGACAAUUGUAGUAUAUGUAUAAGUAAGGAUCGUUCUGGACUAGGGAUUAGGAGGGAUUGCUAAUCUAAACUAAUCUGACUUACAAAAAGAAACUUAAAAACACUUAACUAGAUUCUAUAGACUCAAAACACUUAAAAACACAAACUAAAACAAAUUCUAACUAAUUAGACACACUAAAGUAAAGGGGAUUGGGUUUUGGACGAAAAUAAAGUAAAACAAAACAGAAACUAGAACUAAACAGAUUUGCACGAAAUUGGUUGUUUUGGAUGGAUUAGUUAGAGGUCCGUUCUUCACACAUGACACGCUUGUACAUGAAUCGAUUUCCAAUUGCUUUUCAAUAAACUAUUAUGCUCAACACCCCAGAUUAACCGUGAUGCACAAAUUAACCCUCAGAUUUUCCUUUACUCAUUGAAUUGGAUGAAUGCAUGCGACAGCCCAAAUCAUUCUCUAAAAGUCCCCUAUAUGAAUGCAUAAUAGAGAUACAAUCAGAGAUCAUUACGUUCAAUGAAAAUCAUAAGUGUUGACGAGACAAUUAUAACUAUGAAUGCAUGAUACAAUUGCCAAGAAUUCAAUUAACGCGAUUGUGAUAAACAACCUUCACUACUCAUGAAUAUAAACUUGUAACGAUUAGGUGAAACUCAUUUAUAUUCUAGCAUCUAAUUCAUGCAUGAAAAUUAAGUAUGCAUCCUUAAUAAACAUACAAGAAUCAGUUGUGAAUAAAAUAGAUAAUUGAAUUGCAAUCACAACUUAUCAAAUAACAAUUGGAAGAAAUCAAUUCAUAUCUCAAGCAUGUUCAUGGCUUCAAACUUUCCCCUAACUAAAUAGGGGUUUAGCCACUCAUAAUAGCAACAAAAUCAGAAAAUGAAUUUAACAUUGGAAACAAAAGAAAGAAAACACCUAAACGCUCCAACGAUCCAAGUUGACAGCACGCACGUCCAAACACUUUCUUUUCCUUCCUUUGCUACGGCACAAGGUGUUGGUGAGUGUUUGAAUGUUUGUUUGUAUGGAGGAAUGGAUGUAAAUAUGAAUGGAUGUGUUUGGAUGAAGGUUGUAUUGAAAUAUGAGUGAAUGAUCUAAAAAAAUAUCAACUCCAUUUAUGUUACACACACUUCCUUUUAUAGAGGAAGUGCAAGGCAAAACAUGGGUAAAAUUGAGUGGUGUUGAAAUGAUUCAAAGGUGAAAGUGGAGUAAUGAUGCAAAGCAUGGGUAAAAUAGAGUGGUGAUGAAAUGAUUCAAAGUAAUGAUGCAUGAAAUCUGAAAUGAUGGAGGGAACAAGGAAUGGUGUAGCAAUUAAGUGCAAGGAGGGAACAUGGAUGAUGAUAAGGUAAUCUUGACUCAUGUUUCUUCUUUGGUUGCUGAGCUCUUUGUCAUUUUACAUUAAUUCUUCUUUAUUUUUAACACAUUCCAAGCCUCUUUAGUCUUCAAUUUCGUCCAUCCACCUUGCUCCAUGCAUGUGCUAUCCAUUCCAAGUCCAAAACUGCUCCAAAAUGCACCAAAAUGUACCUUAUUGCUUUAUAAGGCCUAUAGAUCUACAAACACACGAAAAUAGCUUAAAAUACAUAAUUAACUAAGAAAUAACAACAUAAAUGCAUGAGAACAAGCUAACUCAAUCGCAUAAAUAUGCUCAUAUCACUCAUAUGUAAAUAUCAGAAAUUCCAGCCAUACACAUUGGCGAUACCAACAUCAGAAAAUUUUCGCCAUAUUUAUCAUUAGCAAAACAAAUAUUAUAUUUUCCAGCCGUAACCUUCAUUGGCAAAAUAAAUAUCAGAAUUUCAAAUCAAACCAUCAAAACUGGCAAAUCAAAUAUCAGAAAUUUCGGCCAAAAUCAUUGGAAUUUCAAAUCACAACUACUCACCACUAUAUAUUAAACAAAUCAUAGCCUCGGGUUGUGAUUUCAUUCCCAUUCAUAACAUCAUCAUUUCUUCAUAAAUAAUAGUUUCCAACCAUAAUUAUCAUGGCCAUACAAUUUUAAAAUUUUUAGCCAUAAUCAUUAUUGGCAAAACAAUGAUUUCAUCACCUUUUUCUUUUAUCUCCAUAAGUAACUAGUAGACUGGAAAAAAUUGUAAUAUACCUGGCCAAUACACAUCACACAUUUAUCACUUCAAUAAUUCAUUCUUGCAGCUCACACAUGGAGCUUCUCCCUGGAAACAUUGGGUCUUUGUGCCCACUCAUCCAUUGCUCACAUUCCACGGCCUUUUCGCCCCGAAUCAAUAUUUCUCAAUGGCACAGGUACAAUACGACUUUUCCAUCUACUUGUCACAAUUUCACAAUCAUCUUAAUGUUCGAAAUUUUCAUAACGUAUAACACAAUAUCAACCAAAUUCAAGAUUAAUUCGAGACUUUACUCAAACAUUCAUCUUGGAAGCUAUACCAUGAAAUAUGAUAUUUUAAAAUUUUUCUUCUCCCAUUCAAUCAUACGAACACAACCAUUUCACAAUCAUCCAUAUCCAUGAUUUAUAUGAAAGGCAGUCUAACUACUAUUUGAAGUAAUAAUGAUGCAUCUAAAUUUCAUAUCACAUUUUCUAAGAUUAAAUAGAAAUUAACUGAACCGCUUAUUCUACGUACUAUCAACAUUCAUCGACAGAAACUCUGCUUCGGAAUAAGUUAGCACAAUAGAUGAGCUCAACAUAUCGAUACCAACCAAGAGCAAUGUCACAUAAGCAACACAAGGCUUCAAACCAACAAGAUCAAACGGUUAAGUCGCAUCCCGUUAAAGUUACACAUUACGUUACCCCAAACACCGUUGCAAGCCCAUCAAUGAAUUUCACGUUUAGUCGAACCCUGUAACUCUUAUUAAAUUCCUUCAUCCUACCAGUACAAGAAUAUAUCUACUUUAAAUUUUGUUAUUCAAUCAAAUAUCAUGCCAUCAAUCACAAGAACUCAAACCACUUAAUAUAAAAUUAUAAGACUAAGAUGGCAUAGUUCAACCGAAGUCUACACUUUUUAAGUUUCCAAACCCCUCAUGGCUAUCUAACAAAAGAAAUACAAAAUUGCAUAAACACUUCAUGGAAUUCGACAUGCGUGAAUCAUUAGAUUUCAGGGCUACAUAACAAACCACACGAUAUUCAAGAUUUCCAUUUCAUCAAUCAUAUAAAUCACUAUGGUUCAACAUGAUACCUUAAUCCAUAGCAUGUAACGUAUCAAAGAACCAAUGAAGCAUAGUAUUAUUCUCAAGCCACGUUGACCUACUAAUCUAUUCAUAAUAAUAACAUUCACAUCCCACAUCAUUCCACAAUCACUUCAAUUAAUCAUUUCCAUGAAUCAAAGACGAACGAUAUUAACGUCUAACUACGUUAAUCAAUCAAUGAAAUAACAUAUCAUUUCAUGAAUCAACGAUACACAAUUUUAACUUUUAACUAUGUUAGGCAAUCAAUAACAUGGUAAAUCCAAUUUAUAUUCACAAGGUCUAUUGUGGGUAAUUCUCAUUCACUCGAAUCUAGGGUUCUAGAUUAACUUUAUGGAAAUGAGCAAGAGCAAGGAUUCUGGACCACUCAAUGAAACUAAAAUACCAAGCUGCUUCUAGUAAUCUACCCAGACCUGUCAUAUGUACAAUCAUGCCUACAUCAAGGAGAUGGCACACUGGGCAAAUCAGACACUCGGGUAAGCUACGAAGCUCGAGUGAGUGACAAUAAUACAAGUAUGUGAUAUUCAAUUAAAACAGACCAUCAAUCACAAUCUAUAAACAUCAAAUAUAGAAUCAGGCUUUAUGGAAUCAUAAUCAAGUCGCUGAAAACUCCGUAGGAGUCACCCAGACAUCCAACGGUUUUUCUAAUUCAAACCACAAGAUUCUUAAAAACCAUUGUUCAUAUGUACAUUAAAAACUAGGGCUAGAGGAACGCAGUUCGGCCGAAGCCUACAUAUGUAACCAAACAGGAAGUGGCCCCCUAUCGCGGAUUAACCAAGCAGAACCACCCAUGCAGUAACCAAGUAGGCAGUGACCCCCUAUCGCGGAUUAACCAAGUGAGCCACUCCUACGCAUCUGUUAGGCAAUGAUCACUCUUAAGUGUGUGUGUGUAUGGCCAUACCAAAGAUAUAAGGAUCGCCUAUCACGGAUUAACCAAGCACGAUCCAUAGAAAAUAUGGUCCCCUAUCGCGGAUUAACCAAGCAGGACCAAGAUAACUAAGUAGGUAGUGACCCCCUAUCGCGGAUUAACCAAGCAGAGUCACACCUACGAAACUGUUAGGCCGUGAUCACCUAUCACGGAUUAACCAAGCAUGAUCACUCCUAAAGUAUGUAUGACCAUAAGAAUCGCCUAUCGUAAUGCAUCUUGCUAUUUAUUGUUUAAGCCUCACAUACUUGUGACUUUAAUAUCUGUAAUUUAAAAAAUAUAGACUAAAUAUACAUUUUAACAUCUCUAUAUUUUCACUUAUUUUUUUUUUACAUUUCGACUUAAAUAUUCUACUAAAUAUACACUUGUUGCUCGAUAAAUCGUAAAUCUACUUCCAAAUACAUUAUAAAGAUUUCCUUACUGCUCACGGAAAAUAUUUCAAGAAAAUAAAAAAUUUACAUUUUUUAAAGAAAAACGUGGAUGCUCACGGUUUUUAGUCGGUUUUGCAAAUUCGUACAUAAAUCACCGUUCAAUCUAUUUAUUUUCACAUUCUCCUUCUUGUUGGUGUAAACCUGUUUGGCAUUAUUUUGGACAUCACUACUAUUUUCUUCACUUAUUUUUAAUUUUUAGUUUAAAUAUUCUAUUAAAAAUACAGUUGUGGCAUAAAUCGUAAAAUCAAUUCCAAAUGCCUUACAAAAUUUCACUUAAUGCUCAAGAAAAUUAUACUGCAAAAAAUAAAGGAUUUGUAUUUUCACAACAUAUGUGAGUUUACACACACUCACGAUUUUUAGUCAGUUUGUAAACUCUUGCUAUAAUCAUCAUUAAAUAUAGUUGUUUUCGCCUUACUGAAACAUUUUUAAAUUAACUUAAAUCUUUCUCUUUAUAUUCUUGAGGGAGAAAACCCAUGGUUAGUAAUGGAGACACAUGGCACAGUUUUGGAGGAGGAUAAAGGUCGCAUUUGAUUAGGAGAAGUGAGCAAAACGGCUUCUUAUUACGGUAAUGUUAGAGAGACAAAAUUUCUAAAUUAAAUGACAUAAGAAUUGAUGAUUGGAUUAUUACUUAAGCGUUGAUAAACAUGCUCCUUUCUUAUUGGUGACAUAUCAUUUAGUUUGUAAAUUUUAUCUACAAAAUUUAGUCUCUCUAACAUUACCUAAAAAAAAUAUUGCGACUAAUACUAUUGGGUCAUUGUGUUUAGUAGCAAUAUUUUCAUUUUGGAUAAUGUUAGGGAAACUAAAUUUGUAGACUAAAUUUACAGACUAAAUGAUUUGUCACCAAUAAAAUGAGUACGUUUAUCAACGUUUAAGUAAUAAUCCAAUCAUCAACUUCCAUGUCAUUUAGUUUACAAAAUUUAGUCUACAAAUUUAGUCUUUGACUCUCCGUAGCAUUAGCUUUUUUUUUUUUUUUUAAGAAUGAGGAUCCUCUUUGUGAGGAUUCGGGGUUCCUUCAAUCGUGUCCGUUGAUCGUAUAUCGUACAGUCAGUUUUCGUCAAGUAAUAUUCAUAUUUAAUUUUAAAUAAAAAAAUUUAUAAUAAUUUCUAACCGCACGAUAUAUGAUGAACAAAUGUGAUUAGAAAAUUCUCAAGAUCCUCAUAUGAUCCAAAAAGGUAGGAUCCGGAGAGGAUCCUCCAAUUUUAGUCGACCCAGAAAAAAGUAGUAAAGGGCGUUUCCGCAGCAUCUAGUGGAUCAGCUUCAAAGGCGGAUUGAAUCGGUAAGAGUCAAUCCCAGACCUCAACGCCUUAAUGUAAAAUAUGGUGGUAUAUGAUAAAAAAUAAAAGAAACAGAACAGUGUUGCAAAGUUGAAAUAGUCUACCAAAUCAAAAUAUCCCGGCAUAGCACUAUACCGCUUUUAUUCUUGCAAGAGAAAUGGAAUGAAGCACUUAUAUAGAUUACUAUUUAUUUAGUUUCAUAGUGAACAUGGCGGUUGACUAUCAAACUUGGCAAACAUUUUAAAAGUUACUGAACAUAUAAGAAAGAAUUAUGCCACCGAGUAUCAUCUGUAGCUUGUCAGUACUGCAUUCCUUGCCUCCUGAAGGAGAAGGGGGUG